UACAGAGGAUGCAAGCGUUAUCCGGAAUGAUUGGGCGUAAAGCGUCUGUAGGUGGCUUUUUAAGUCCGCCGUCAAAUCCCAGGGCUCAACUCUGGACAGGCGGUGGAAACUGCCAAGCUGGAGUACGGUAGGGGCAGAGGGAAUUUCCGGUGGAGCGGUGAAAUGCGUAGAGAUCGGAAAGAACACCAGCGGCGAAAGCGCUCUGCUGGGCCGACACUGACACUGAGAGACGAAAGCUAGGGGAGCGAAUGGG
RNAcentral lists this ribosomal RNA (253 nucleotides) under uncultured bacterium. RNAcentral describes it as "partial 16S ribosomal RNA". It matches the Rfam family "Bacterial small subunit ribosomal RNA", at positions 524 to 776 of the family's 1533-position model. The record is from RNAcentral.